Molecule: long non-coding RNA, 770 nt
Organism: Cydia pomonella (codling moth)
Lineage: Eukaryota; Metazoa; Arthropoda; Insecta; Lepidoptera; Tortricidae
Exons: 2
Source: RefSeq, a predicted model, not a curated record
CAGUAGAGUGACGGCACCAGUAAUGGACACGGCACCAAUUAUGGACAUUUUUUUCGUUGAUCGAAUUUAUUAAGCAACUGUCCCGACAUUUUUCAACUGGCAACACUAAAGCAUAACCAAUAGACGUUUGAGCUGUCAUUUUGACACACGUCACCAAAAUCGGCCAUUUUGUUCUUAGAUGGCUGCGAAGUCAAAAUUCGUUACGCGCGGUGGUAAUAAAAAUCCGUUUUUAUUAUUGAAAUCGUUAAGGAGAUGGCACCGAAGAAAAAUUAUACCCCCGAACAAAUGGGGAGAGCAUUGGAUGCUGUAAGGAUGGGAGAAACUAUAAGCACAGCUGCCCUCCGGUUUGGGGUUCCUCGAAUAACCUUGCACAACAAGGUGACAGGCAAAAGUCCUGCAGUUUGUGCUAUGGGGCCUCAAACUAUCCUUACGGCAGAAGAAGAGGACAUUCUGGUAAAAUGGUUGGUCGCAAUGAGUGAAAAGCACUUUCCCAUAAAUAGACAAUUAUUAACAGAGAGCGUGCAAAAAAUUAUAUUAGAUCAAGGGAAGGCCAAUCCUUUUACAAAUAACAAACCUGGAAAAAAGUGGUUUUCCUCAUUUUUAAAACGUCAUCCAGAUAUAACAGAAAAAACAGCACAAAAUCUUUCGAAGUCGAGGGAUGACGUUACCGAAGAAGGCAUACGCAAAUGGUUUAAUGAAAUAACGACAUACAUAGAAGGUGUAGGUUUAAAAGAUGUUUUAGAUGACCCUAGCCGGAUAUUUAAUACCGA